Molecule: non-coding RNA, 7191 nt
Organism: Caretta caretta (loggerhead turtle)
Lineage: Eukaryota; Metazoa; Chordata; Testudines; Cheloniidae
Source: RefSeq, a predicted model, not a curated record
AAUAUGUACAUAUAGGUAUGUGUAUAGAUUAUAUAUAUAUAUGUGUAUAUAUAGAUAAACAUGAUAUAGAUGUGUAUGUAUAUAUAGAUCGAUAUUGAUAUGUGUGUGUAUAGAUACCGAAAUAGAUGAUUCAGAUGUUUGUGCAUGAAUAUGUAUAUCGGUGGACCUAAAGAUCUAGAUGUGUGCUAUCAGUGUGUGUAUAAUAUAUAUGUGCAAUUUCAGAUAUAUAUAUAAUGAGACAGAUUUGCUGCAGGCCAGUGAAUAUAGCAUCUAUCUAUUUUUCUUUCUUGAGAGCAACACACAGUACCCUGAGAGCGUAACUGUAACAGCUCGGUACAUUGGUGCUUGACCUCAGACCAUCGCAGCUGAAAUCCCAGCAUGCCUCUUGCUUCCAAGUUUAAAACCUGAACGAUUCAUCUUAGAAAUGUGCUUUGUGGACAAAAAAAAAAAAGGAGGGGGGGGAGAUGGGUUGGAUUUUUUUAAUUGUUAGAUCUAAAAGAAACCAAACAAUAAAAUAUAUAUGUCAAAUAUAUAUGUAUAAAUAAUUCCAAAAUGCUAUUCUUCUCAGCAAACGCUGAAGUUCGUUUUAGUCCUUAGAAUUUAACCUCUCUGGUUUUAAUAUCAAACCUACAUGUGACAGAUGAAGUAGAAAUCAGAAAUGUGAAAAUACUCCUAGUUCUGUUUUUUCUUUAUUACAUUUUUUAAUGUUGUAAAAUUCAUUAUGGUUGUGAUUGUAUUUAUUUCUGUUCUGUAAGGCAAUUUUUAAUGAUGUUACUGUACCUUUUUAUGGCACUGAAUGCUUGUUUUAUAUUUUAAUACAAAUGCUUUAACUUAAAAUACAAUGCAACAAAGAGAUAUUAAUUGGUGUAAUAUUUCACUACUUAUAUCAGUUUAGGAUAUGUCUGACAGUUCUCAAUAUUUAAUAUUUAUCUGAACUAGAAAAGCUUUUUUCUUUUUAUUUUACACUACAAUUUCAGAGAUUCUUUUAGCUCCAUUUAAAAAAAAUCAAACAUAGCAUUUUACUUCUGAAUUGUAAACUAUUCCAAAUGUACUGUAAUUGAAUUAUGAAUAUAAAAUUUUCCCCUAGAUUACAAUUAUUUUCCAUUACCUGUUUGGUUUUUAAAUCCAGAUGUAAUAUGCGAACAUCUACCAAACCUUUGUACUAUCCUGCUAUUGAUUUUACACUUGGAUACAUGAAAAACCUUGCCUUUCCUUGAAAAUAUAUUACUAAUCAAUUUGCGAUCAUUAUUUUCCAAAUGGCAGGGAAGAGACCAUUUUGUUUGUGAGAGUUGAUGAUUUGCUUAUAACUAUUUAAUAUCUUUGUUGAUUUCCUCUGAAGCAUGUCAGUGUGAACAAUGCCUUAUAAUCUUUGGAAGGAGAAUUUUUAAAAAAGGAAUUAUUCAUAUUUGUAUUCUGGAUAAGAUAGAUGUUUUCUUUUGAACCUGUUUCUGUAAUCAGCAUUAUUCUAUCACAAAUCCAGUUGUGUGGAAUGUAUAUCAAUGUUGCAGUGUGAUACAGGGCCUGAUCCAAAGCCCACUGAACUCAAAAGAAGUCUUUCUAUUGAUUUCAAUGCAUUUGUAUCACACCCUGAGUUCUAUAGUAAGAAACAAUACCAUGUAGUGCAUGUUUCAUAUAUUCUGCAGAAAUAUACCGUCUUUCCUCUCACCUCUGUGUUAAUAUUGGUGCACAAGGAUUUCUGCUCUAUUAUUAUGAGGAGAAGUAGAUGAAACAAAACAUGCAAAAGAUUGUACAUUUCAGAAAGGUUGCUUCUGCUGCAAAGGCAGGUUCCUCACCCCUCCCUCCCAGAAGCACAUCACUGAAGUUCAGUGAAAUGAAUAACAUAAUUGGUAGUUGGUUCAAUCACUACCAGUCUAGACUAGCCCAGACACAUCAAUUAGAGAGGGCUGUCUUUUUAAAGGGACAGUGCAACCGAAACAAGUAAGGCCUUAUCUCAAAGUGAAAAUCCAGCUUGGCAGAAAUAAAAAAAAGAGAGAGAGAGAACUAAAUUGGAGCUUUUGGGGAACAUAGAAGGCAGGAAGCUUGAGAGAACAGGAGGGAAUAAUAACUGAAAUAUAAUGCACUCCCCACCUCCCAUCGCCCCAACCUACCAGUGCAAACUCAUAAUUCAGUGCACCAGGGACACAGGUUCAGUGGCAUUUCUUAGUUAGAUUUGUGUGUGUGCAAUUUUAGAGAUGGCAAUGUUAUUGAAACUUAAUUACCUUAUAAAUAUCGAGUCAGAGUUAUUUCCAUGCAAGCAAAUAGAAAUCAAUGCUAAACUAUCCUGCAGCAUUUUUUCACCCUCCAAACAAACAAACAAAAAUCCAGGGUGCAUAUAUACUGGAAAGCUCUGAUUAUCUUCUCUCUGAUAAAAUUAUAAAGGUAACUACACAGCCUGUCUAGAUCCUAGCACAACUGUAUAGAAAAGUAAACUGCGAAAAACCAGCUUGUGUUAAUAGCAAAAUUGAGGAGAAAAUAGAUUACAGAAUGUCUUGAUUUUUAUUAAAAAAUUGAGGCGGUAAAUAAAGCAGGCUGUGUUUGAGACUGCAUCCAGCACUAAGAAAAGAAAAUGCUUGAUUAGUUUCAAUUAAAGCAUAUCUAAUAUAUUAUAAUGAAAUUUAACAUAAUACAUUCCAAGCUAAUCUUUGUCAUACCUAUAUGAAAAAAUAAAAGCAAAAAGCAUGAGCAUCUCAUUUAGAAUAUUGCAAACCCCUCCCCUCAAUAAAUGCUAAUUCAGCAAAAUAUAUUUGGCCAGAUCUUGCAACUGGGAGUUUUGCCUGAGUAAGGACUGCAAGACUGGGCACUAUGAGUUCAAACUCUUUAUAAUCUUAGCAGAACUUGCUUUCCCAAGCUGAAAGAAAUGAUGUUUGGUGGUGGCAAAGGGGGGAAGUCCAGGACCAUCCUAAAAAUCUUCCUUGUUGCUCAUUUAUUUCAAGAGCUAUAAUAUACAAAAGGUUGCACAAUACUGUAUUUUAAAAAUGGAGAAUGAUUUUACUACCCUUCCAUUCCUAAUUCCUUCCAGGGCACUUAGGGAUUUAUUGGGCUAGUUACCAAAUGAUAUGACAUACAAUUAAAUGGCUGGUGCUGAUUAGCUGAUUGAUUAAUUCCUAGUUGAUUUCUAAUUAUAAACUUUAUUCACAUUAUAAAUUCCUGACAGUAACAUGCCAGUUUGGUGGAAAUCCACUUGGCUUUCUCCUGUUAUAUUGCUUUGCAGCCAUUUAACAUGUAAAGUCAGUUGAAAAUGACAUAAAACAUUUUUCUAUAGUUUACUUUAAACAUUAACCUUUUGAUUCCCCUUUUAAAGAAUGGCCUCUUUGACCACACUUCACUUCUUCUAACUGUUAGGACAUUGGUAUAUAAUGUGUACACACACACACACAGAGUAACGUUGGAAACUACUGCAUUAUACAGAGAAUAAGUAACAAACUAUUCUUUAUUUUAAGACUUAACUUGGUGUGUCGUCAAAUAAUUUAUACUGUUUUGUGGAUAUUUUUCUUUUUUGCUGCCCGUGGCUGUUUAUAUUGGCUUAGUUGCAAAUAAGCUGCUAUGCAAACAUCAUAGUAAAAGGUUCAGAUGAAGUUUAUAAAACAAAACACAAAAGGCACAAGUUUUUAACCGUUAUCUCGCACCUCUGAAAAUGUUUGUGCUGACAUUGUCUAGAAGAGACGCUCCUGACCUAACUGGACUACAUGGCUGCUGGUGCUGCCCAGCCUUUCCCCAGUGCUCAGAGUGAAAGACCAUCCCAGUUCUUCUUCACUCUUGAGAACACACACAUUGUUUCAGUAAUCCCCGCAAUAAAUGCUAAUUAGUAAUGCACAAGGACCCUACCAGCCAGAGCAAUUAUCAUAAUGUACCUUUUCCUUUUAAACACAUUCCUGGCUGAUUUACAUUUUUUAAGCAAUAGUGUAUUGCCUGUUCCUUUGAAAAACCUUUCCAGUGCAUUAGCAGUAAGUGUGCGUGUUAUAUGUAGCAACAUUGAAACACACUUUGAUUAUUGCACAGAGAAUUGCAAAAAGAAAUGAAAGUGCGUAAAGAAUUUCCCACAUGUGAAAUUUUAUUUUCAAACCCAGAUUUUUUCUUUCCCCUCCCUGUCUGCCCCCCUUCUACCACCACCAAAACCCACUUACUGAGGAGAACAAAGGAAAUCACUAACUAUAAAGGCAUCAUUAAGUAUGAACAGCAACAGCAAGAUAAAGCGUGUGAUAUGACAACAUAUUUUAUUGCACAAAAGUCAAGAUAAUUAAAUAAUUCACUGGUAUUCUUAACUAAUUAGCACAAAGAUCUUUCAGAAGCCAUCAGGAGAAUGGAUCUAAUCAAAUCUAAUAACAUGCUGCAUUACUCAAAGAUCACAUAUUUUCCAAUGCUGCUAAUAUUUUUCAAACUGAUAAAAUAACAGGAAGGUUACAAAUAUGUGCACGUUUAAUCAGCCUGUAUUUCAAUGUGCUCCUUUUCUGCAUGAAGUGAUUAGAUCUUUGUGGGAAGUGACUAUGUACGGCGGGAGUUUCCAGGGCUAGUCAAUGAUAAAAAUCACAGAUUGAGAAAAUCAAUUCAGUUUUAACUAAUCUCUUAAAAGGAUUCAUUGUCGGGCUAGGAUUCAUUAUUGUGCUGAACAUUAUGGGGCUGACUCACUUGGAUUGAUGGUUUGUGCACGUACGCUGGAGUUUGCCUGAGAUCUUCUAAUGUGGCUCAUUGGGAACCUCAUUUGCCCAUUUUCUGCUUUCCCAACCUUUAAAAACAUGUCUACCAACCCGAAGAGAGACUGAUGCGUUUUAAUUCAGAAUCCAGUUGUGAGGCCAGAUUCUGAUUGCAUUUGACUGGUGUAAAAUCCGGACUAACUCCAUUGAGAUCAGUUGGGAUUGAUUUAGAUUUACACUGGGGUAAAUGACAUUGCAAUGACCUGUGCUCGUGGGGAAAUGCUUACUUUUUCCUCUAGGCGCAUGAGUCUUUAAGCAAAAGCCAGAGACUACGUGUACGAAGCAUGAGCACAAUAGGGGCAGACUGUCAGUGGCUACUGUACAGAAGAGCAGACUAUACCCUGGAGCACCUGCCAAGGCACUGAUGCUGCUAUUGGGAAUCUCUCCUGGUAGCGCUUUUCGGCAAAUAGACAUCAGAUACAGCGAAUAGUAUUCAUUAUAUGCAAUUAUACUGCAGUACUGAUACAUAUGCAUUGUUUUAUGUAGUAUAUUUGCUGACUCACAUUUGAUCAUAUACUGCCUAUAUAUUUUACGUAAGUAAAAGUGACUCAUUCCUAUACUAAACAAAGGAAUAUUUGGAAAAUCAUUUUGUCUGAUGGAAAAUUAAGCAUUUAUCCUUUUAAGGAAAUGUCUGUAUACUAUUCACCAUUGAAAUAACAGGAGAGGGCAUACGUAUAUAUAAUGAGGUUUAGAUGCAGUGUUGCCUACUUUUCUUACUAUGAGCCCAAACCUUUUUCGUGUACGAGCAGAGCUAACUCCCACAGACUCCACGGAUUACUGAGAUGAGGCAGUGUUGUGGGGUCAGGCUCUACGUUUGGUAAUUCUUUGUGUUUCACGUAGCAAGGUAGUGCCUGAAGACACAAACUGAGAUUGAAGCCCCGUUGUGCCAGGCACUGUCCACACACACAGCAUGAGAUAGCCCCUGCCCUAAAGGGCUGGCUGUCUAAAUAGACAAGACAGACAAAGGGUGGGUGAGAAAAAAGAGGCACCGAGAGGUGACCUGCUCAAGGAUACAUAGCAGGUCAUUGGCAGGGCAGGGUAUAGAACCCAGCUGGCCUGACUCCUGGGCCAGUGCCCCAUCCACUGGGCCACACCACACCUCUGGACAUGCACAGUUUAUGAAUACCGUCACUGGUAUGCAAGAAUGUAAAUUCAACAUAGCAAGUUGCAUUUCUAAUGCACAUUUGGCUGUAGUUGUGAAAGAAUAGAUGUUACUUACAUGAGCACGUUACACUCCUUUCCUGUAUGUUCUGCAUCCUGUUGUUGCUAUUCACUCCAUGUUCAGACUAUUGUAUUUGGUCUGAGAUGAGUGCUGGCUGAUUUAAAUAUAUAUAUUUAUAUUCAAGGAGAGCAAUUACUCUCUCUGAUUUAAUUACCAGCAGGACAGUGGGGUGGGAGGAGGUAUUUUUUCAUAUUCUCUGUGUAUAAAUAAAGUCUGCUGCAGUUUCCACGGCAUGCAUCCGAUGAAGUGAGCUGUAGCUCACGAAAGCUCAUGCUCAAAUAAAUUGGUUAGUCUCUAAGGUGCCACAAGUACUCCUUUUCUUUUUUCUCUGAUUUAAGAGAUUCAAAACAUGAAGGUGAUCAUGGAAGACUGAGGUCCUGCAUGUACAGUAAAUUAAAAUUGCUUUUAUUUUACUAUAGCUAUUCCAGUACUGUAUAAUCUACUCCCGUCAGAUGGGUUUGACUACUGACUUCUCACCCUAGCAUUUUGUUGGGUUGGCUGUUCUGUCCGUGCUAUACGGUGCUCUGCUCAGAGAGCUCCAAGGCAUGUAAAGGAUCAGCACCGGCUGUGCUGUGCAAUCAGCGCUUCUUGUGCUAUCCUGCAACCAAGGGGGAGCCUCAAGCAACAGCUAAUGAACAAGAAUUGCUUGGAUCCAACAAGUGAUAGAUUGACCUCAGCAGAAGCAACUUCUUGCUGCUGCCUCUCAAACUGUGACUGCUAAUGUAAAAAAAUUAAAAACCCAAAUAGCCAGCCAGCCAACCAACGCCGAUGCUAUUGUACCAGCUGCAACGUGUUGCUGCUCCAUAACCUUAGAAUAUGGGACAAAUUACAUAUGCCCAAGAGGAGGAAAAUUCUAGUCACCUCCUAAGAGGAGAAGAAUGGUCCCAACAGCUCUUUCUGGCCACCACAAGAAGCUGACCUGAUUGUCUACAUGCCACAGAGAGCUGUGUUCUGAUGAUCCAGGGUGCAGCAUACUGCUUGCUUGACCUGUGCGCCUCCUGUCACUUCACCCACAGGAAUGAGGAAGUGCUACGAAGCAGCAGAAAUUCUAGAGCUUGGCAAUCAGGAGAAGCAGCCCUCAUGUGAGCUCUUUUUCCGUGAAGCUUGAGACUUGCCUAAACUCCAGCUUCUCCACUAGGAACAAGAGUUUGUUCAGAAUAUGGCGGGGGAGGAAAAUUUGGCUACCGUGUGUGUGCACUUGUUCCAUGUCUGAACUUGCUGAGUAUACAACUAUUAUUCCCAAGGAAUCCAGUAAAUGGUGAAUCUGCAAACCAGUUA